RNAcentral lists this ribosomal RNA (808 nucleotides) under uncultured Streptococcus sp. RNAcentral's name for it is "bacterial SSU rRNA". It matches the Rfam family "Bacterial small subunit ribosomal RNA", at positions 75 to 868 of the family's 1533-position model. Lineage: Bacteria; Bacillati; Bacillota; Bacilli; Lactobacillales; Streptococcaceae. The record is from RNAcentral.
GGAGCUUGCUCUUCUUGGAUGAGUUGCGAACGGGUGAGUAACGCGUAGGUAACCUGCCUUGUAGCGGGGGAUAACUAUUGGAAACGAUAGCUAAUACCGCAUAACAAUGGAUGACACAUGUCAUUUAUUUGAAAGGGGCAAUUGCUCCACUACAAGAUGGACCUGCGUUGUAUUAGCUAGUAGGUGAGGUAAUGGCUCACCUAGGCGACGAUACAUAGCCGACCUGAGAGGGUGAUCGGCCACACUGGGACUGAGACACGGCCCAGACUCCUACGGGAGGCAGCAGUAGGGAAUCUUCGGCAAUGGGGGCAACCCUGACCGAGCAACGCCGCGUGAGUGAAGAAGGUUUUCGGAUCGUAAAGCUCUGUUGUAAGUCAAGAACGGGUGUGAGAGUGGAAAGUUCACACUGUGACGGUAGCUUACCAGAAAGGGACGGCUAACUACGUGCCAGCAGCCGCGGUAAUACGUAGGUCCCGAGCGUUGUCCGGAUUUAUUGGGCGUAAAGCGAGCGCAGGCGGUUUGAUAAGUCUGAAGUUAAAGGCUGUGGCUCAACCAUAGUUCGCUUUGGAAACUGUCAAACUUGAGUGCAGAAGGGGAGAGUGGAAUUCCAUGUGUAGCGGUGAAAUGCGUAGAUAUACGGAGGAACACCGGUGGCGAAAGCGGCUCUCUGGUCUGUAACUGACGCUGAGGCUCGAAAGCGUGGGGAGCGAACAGGAUUAGAUACCCUGGUAGUCCACGCCGUAAACGAUGAGUGCUAGGUGUUGGAUCCUUUCCGGGAUUCAGUGCCGCAGCUAACGCAUUAAGCACU